Drosophila miranda is the source of this 1705-nucleotide long non-coding RNA. RefSeq lists it as uncharacterized. The record is from RefSeq and is a predicted model, not a curated record. NCBI's taxonomy places the organism in Eukaryota, Metazoa, Arthropoda, Insecta, Diptera, Drosophilidae. The transcript has 2 exons.
GUCAUGAGCUGGAGGCGAUUCCCCCACCCCACCCAUUCGCCACUCAAAAAUGUCAGAAUCUUCCAGAGGCACAAUACAGGCCCCAAACCAUCUCAAACAAAGGUGGAAAGCACGACAAACAGAAUAGAAUGGAAAUAAAUUCCAAAUCUUUAUGCAGUUUCUGGCUCCCGUGUCGACAGAAAUAAAUUCGAAUUAUAUUCGGGGGAAAGAAUGUUUGCUACACAGCGAAAAUGAACAAUAAAUAAACGGAGGCAGGCAGGGUGGUGCCAUUUAAUGUCCGAAAUGCUUGAGAGAAUAUGCAAAAAUCCGCACCGAACCGAGAAGAGCGGAGCAGAGCAGUAUCGGGGCAGUAUCUGGCGAGAUGUUACCGAAAAUUGUGAUAAAAAAUCGAUCCAUUAGCGGCUCUUUAAUGAUUCCACAACAAUAUCGACGAGUCGAAUAUUAUUCAUUUCGAAUUUCUGGACAAGAUCAUCGCAGUCCAGUUAUUGCCUCCUGUCAUCGCUUGCCAUUUCCCGUGUCCCAGAGCCCGCAAAACAUUCGCGGAAAAAUCAAGUAAAAAUAAACACAAAGUGUGCCAAAAGCAAACAAAACAAAAAACGAAAAGAACCUAAGGAAAACCAGAAGACAUCUUCUUCGCUGGAACAAAUUUUCACCCCUUUUUCGAUGGAUGCUAUUUGUGGCUGCUGCCACGGGAGAGUGCCUGCCACCGCAGACUGACGCUGACGCUGAAAUGCUGCUGCAAUUCUCCGCCUCUCCGGACCACAAGACACAAAUCAACUGUCGUCGGACUUCAAUCACAUUAAAAUGCACGCUCCAGAGCCACGAAAGGGACGGGAAAGGGGAAGGGAGAGGAGAGAAUAUGGAGUAUAUGACCCAAAUAAAUCAGGCCGAUGAUUGCAGGGCGUACAGAUACACCGGUCUACUAUAUAGUACUCGCCUUCCGAGACAGAGGUUGGCGUGCCAGUACGAGUACGGGUAUUAUGUGCAAUUUCAAUUAUCAGCGGGAACUCCCCCACCCCUCGCAAAGGUCGCAAACUGUCGCAUCAUGCUCAAUCGUCACCAGACAAGCCCCCAAAUCGUUUGUGUUCCUAAGCGGUAGCAUACUGCUCCUCACACACACACACACACACACACCUAAGAAUGACUCAAGAUCGGUGACACAGGAAUAUGAUAUUGACUUGGGGGAAUGGAAAGUUCUUCCUUAUCGGAAAGCGAGCUAAAGUUCGAACUACUAUAAAUACAACUAGGGCGCGCUCUCUCUCUCUCUCUCUCCUUCUUUCUAAGUGCAGUCUGGACUUGCUCUCUCUGAGUGGAAAGUUCGAGUUCCCUCUCUCUCUCUCGCUCUCUUGGCAGACAAUCGCUUGUAGAUCGAAUCGCUUGGCUCUGACAGCAAGACAGAUGAUGCCCAGAUAUCUGCCCACAACCAAAUUCAUAGCCAUAGCCAUAUCGAGAGUGUACAUUGUAUACUACUGAAAAUCGAUGGAAUGAGUAAAUCAUUUGCGCAGUUACAAAUCGGGGCAAAUGUCCACCGGCCCCUCCCCUACUGUACUGUGCGCCAUGUAAGGCAUUUACUUGAGGCUGGAGAAUUAUUUCAUAAGUUCCGCUGCCAUUACAGACCCCCCCGUUGACACGUAAUUCUCCAAACAAUUUGCGAAAUAUGCUCAAUAGUAUUCGUGAAACCGAAAGGGGCAACAGCGCAGACACA